GACACGACCGUACCGCAAACCGACACUGGUGCGCGAGAUGAGUAUUCUAAGGCGCUUGAGAGAACUCAGGAGAAGGAACUCGGCAAAUUGACACCGUAACUUCGGAAGAAGGUGUGCCUUUAGUAGGUGAACCUGUACAAGGGGAGCCCAAUGAGGUUGCAAAAAAUCGGUGGCUGCGACUGUUUAAUAAAAACACAGCACUCUGCAAACACGAAAGUGGACGUAUAGGGUGUGACGCCUGCCCGGUGCUGGAAGAUUAAAUGAUGGGGUGCAAGCUCUUGAUUGAAGUCCCAGUAAACGGCGGCCGUAACGAUAACGGUCCUAAGGUAGCGAAAUUCCUUGUCGGGUAAGUUCCGACCUGCACGAAUGGCGUAACGAUGGCCACACUGUCUCCUCCUGAGACUCAGCGAAGUUGAAAUGUUUGUGAUGAUGCAAUCUCCCCGCGGAAAGACGGAAAGACCCCAUGAACCUUUACUGUAGCUUUGUAUUGGACUUUGAACAGAUCUGUGUAGGAUAGGUGGGAGGCUUUGAAGUGUGGUCGCUAGAUCGCAUGGAGCCAACGUUGAAAUACCACCCUGGUGUGUUUGAGGUUCUAACCUAGGCCCGUAAUCCGGGUCGGGGACAGUGCAUGGUAGGCAGUUUGACUGGGGCGGUCUCCUCCCAAAGCGUAACGGAGGAGUUCGAAGGUACGCUAGGUACGGUCGGACAUCGUUCUAAUAGUGCAAUGGCAUAAGCGUGCUUAACUGCGAGACUGACAAGUCGAGCAGAUGCGAAAGCAGGACAUAGUGAUCCGGUGGUUCUGUAUGGAAGGGCCAUCGCUCAACGGAUAAAAGGUACUCUGGGGAUAACAGGCUGAUACCGCCCAAGAUUUCAUAUCGACGGCGGUGUUUGGCACCUCGAUGUCGGCUCAUCUCAUCCUGGGGCUGUAGCCGGUCCCAAGGGUAUGGCUGUUCGCCAUUUAAAGAGGUACGUGAGCUGGGUUUAAAACGUCGUGAGACAGUUUGGUCCCUAUCUUCCGUGGGCGCUGCAGAUUUGAGGAAGCCUGCUCCUAGUACGAGAGGACCGGAGUGGACACACCUCUGGUGUAUCGGUUGUCACGCCAGUGGCAUUGCCGAGUAGCUAUGUGUGGAAGAGAUAACCGCUGAGAGCAUCUAAGCGGGAAACUCGUUUCAAGAUGAGAUCUGCCGGGGCCUUGAGCCCCCUAAAGAGUCGUUCAAGACCAGGACGUUGAUAGGUCGGGUGUGGAAGCGCAGUAAUGCGUUAAGCUAACCGAUACUAAUUGCUCGUGCGGCUUGAGCAA
Molecule: ribosomal RNA, 1300 nt
Filed under: metagenome
Description: bacterial LSU rRNA
Rfam family: Bacterial large subunit ribosomal RNA
Source: RNAcentral